This 79-nucleotide transfer RNA is filed under the name Candidatus Omnitrophota bacterium. RNAcentral describes it as "Candidatus Omnitrophica bacterium tRNA-Pro". It matches the Rfam family "tRNA". Rfam says of the family: Transfer RNA (tRNA) molecules are approximately 80 nucleotides in length. Their secondary structure includes four short double-helical elements and three loops (D, anti-codon, and T loops). The record is from RNAcentral. Lineage: Bacteria; Pseudomonadati; Candidatus Omnitrophota.
CGGGGGGUGGCGCAGCCUGGUUUAGCGCGCUUGGUUUGGGACCAAGAGGUCGUGGGUUCGAAUCCCACCCUCCCGACCA